Long non-coding RNA from Cervus elaphus (red deer), 424 nucleotides. RefSeq lists it as uncharacterized. The record is from RefSeq and is a predicted model, not a curated record. The transcript is spliced from 3 exons. Lineage: Eukaryota; Metazoa; Chordata; Mammalia; Artiodactyla; Cervidae.
CCCCAGGAGUCCUGAUGUUGGCGACUCCCUAGAUUACUCACCCCCCUGAGACCUUGCUGUCGAGGAUGUAUGUAAUGGGAGCACACAAAAGAGCCCGUGAUUCCAGGAAGACGGGCGCCCCCUCUGCCGUGUUCGCUCAGCGGCAAGCACAACACCUGGCCCUGAACAGGUUAUGUUUCACUGCACUUCAGCACCCCCGCCCGAAUGCUAUGGAGGAAUCCAUGGACGCGUGAGCCUAAAGAGAAGGAGACACUGUAUUCCAAAGGCCACUUGGAUGGUGGUGAGAGCUCCUUUCUGUACUUGCAGAGCUGUGUUUGCAAUGUUUGCCUCCCGUCAGGAUCUCAAUUAGGGGCAAGGACUUCUCCCAGGACGAAGAGUGUUCGGCAUGUGUAAAAAUACCCUUGUGUCCGUUGCAUAAAUGUCU